This 364-nucleotide long non-coding RNA is filed under the name Bos taurus (domestic cattle). Its description in RNAcentral is "long non-coding RNA NONBTAT001773". Lineage: Eukaryota; Metazoa; Chordata; Mammalia; Artiodactyla; Bovidae. The record is from RNAcentral.
CUGAUGAAAGUACCAAUUUGUGUAUUGUUGGAUUUUUCAUCUGAUUAUCUAAAGAGGAUAUAAAAAAUAUAGUCUAAAAAAAGUGUUCAUGGUGAAUCUCAUUUGAGAAAUUCAUGUUAAAUUAAAAUAGGAACAGCAUUUUAGUUUUCUGGGUGUUACCUAAAAGUGACUUUGGACUUUCACUGGAUAUAGGCCUUUUGUAAAUCAUGUUGAUACAAUGUAUGGUUUGCAUUUUAGAGGGAGUUUAUGUUUAAUUAAGUUUUAGUUUCUGUAAAUCCUUUGUAGUACAUAAUGCUUUUUAUAGUUAUUGCUUUAUCUUUUUCUGAAAACACUGGCAUUAGCACCUAAUUUUGCAUUUUUAUUG